RNAcentral lists this long non-coding RNA (772 nucleotides) under Rattus norvegicus (Norway rat). RNAcentral describes it as "long non-coding RNA NONRATT025694". Lineage: Eukaryota; Metazoa; Chordata; Mammalia; Rodentia; Muridae. The record is from RNAcentral.
UAGAGGCACACUUUCUGUGUUCACCUGUGGAGAAAGACGUAUUUGAAAUAUCUGUCAGAUUUCUGUGCUUUCCAGGAGCACUCUACAGGUUUCUCAGACAUGUGCAAAGUGUUUUCUUACGGACGUCUGCCGUGGAGAUAUCAUUUUAAAAGGAAAAAUCCCAAACAAAAGACUUGGAAAGAAGAGCCCAGCGGGGGACGCAGACCCACUAAUGAAACGGACCUCAUCCAGUAAAAAGCCCCAAAUCCUGCCCACGCUUUUCCUUGGUGGCUCUCGUCCAUCAUUUCGAUUUUUUUUUUUCCCUAACUCACAGCCCUGAGUCGUCACCUUGUAAACAGGAGUGAAGUUGGAGAUCCUGUUUGUGGAGCAAUAGUCGGCUCUUAUAUUAACAUGUGGCUCAGGCAGAAUGGUUGACCUGUUCUCUUCCACUUCAGAAGCCUUCUACAAGGGACUGCAAACCGUGUGUGUGUGUGUGUGGUGUGUGUGUGUGUGUGUGUAUGUUUUAUGAGUCAUGACCUUUACAGGACUCAACUUUAUUUCAAUGAACUUAAACAGAUUUGACUAGAACAAGGGGUUUUUCGAAAACAGAGCCUCCAGCCAGGCUCUGUACACUCCACUGUUGCCCUCCAUGGAACACCUCUUCCUCCUCCCGUUAUUUAAGAAGUUAUUUAAUAAUUCAGUACCAAAUCUAAUCAAGUUCAAAAACCUCAUUAUACAUAAAUGUACCCUUCUGGUUUCAAUGAAUAUAUUUUAGAUACAAACAUCAUUUCUA